UACGUAGGGGGCUAGCGUUGUCCGGAAUUAUUGGGCGUAAAGAGCUCGUAGGCGGUCUGUCGCGUCUGCUGUGAAAACUCGGGGCUUAACCCCGGGCCUGCAGUGGGUACGGGCAGACUAGAGUGCGGUAGGGGAGACUGGAAUUCCUGGUGUAGCGGUGAAAUGCGCAGAUAUCAGGAGGAACACCGGUGGCGAAGGCGGGUCUCUGGGCCGUAACUGACGCUGAGGAGCGAAAGCAUGGGGAGCGAACAGG
This 253-nucleotide ribosomal RNA is filed under the name uncultured bacterium. RNAcentral describes it as "partial 16S ribosomal RNA". It matches the Rfam family "Bacterial small subunit ribosomal RNA", at positions 524 to 776 of the family's 1533-position model. The record is from RNAcentral.